GAAACCCUAACCUUGUUAAUAGUUGCCAGACAUAGCCAGGCUUGCUCCUCUAGCUCUUCAACUAGCUUUUGCAACCAAUUUCCACUCCUCCUCAGCUCCUUCACAACCUCCUGCAGUGAAAAUGUAUCCUCCCUCCCCACCCAAAACCUUAUAAUCUCCUUAAUCCUCUCCACCUCCUCAUGCAACCUAUCAACAAACCUACUCAUGGUGUCAAA
This 215-nucleotide unclassified non-coding RNA is filed under the name Hevea brasiliensis (rubber tree). Lineage: Eukaryota; Viridiplantae; Streptophyta; Magnoliopsida; Malpighiales; Euphorbiaceae. The record is from RNAcentral.